RNAcentral lists this ribosomal RNA (533 nucleotides) under Trichoderma koningii. RNAcentral's name for it is "eukaryotic LSU rRNA". The stretch from base 159 to 312 matches the Rfam family "5.8S ribosomal RNA". The record is from RNAcentral. Lineage: Eukaryota; Fungi; Ascomycota; Sordariomycetes; Hypocreales; Hypocreaceae.
UGUGACCAUACCAAACUGUUGCCUCGGCGGGGUCACGCCCCGGGUGCGUCGCAGCCCCGGAACCAGGCGCCCGCCGGAGGGACCAACCAAACUCUUUCUGUAGUCCCCUCGCGGACGUUAUUUCUUACAGCUCUGAGCAAAAAUUCAAAAUGAAUCAAAACUUUCAACAACGGAUCUCUUGGUUCUGGCAUCGAUGAAGAACGCAGCGAAAUGCGAUAAGUAAUGUGAAUUGCAGAAUUCAGUGAAUCAUCGAAUCUUUGAACGCACAUUGCGCCCGCCAGUAUUCUGGCGGGCAUGCCUGUCCGAGCGUCAUUUCAACCCUCGAACCCCUCCGGGGGGUCGGCGUUGGGGAUCGGGAACCCCUAAGACGGGAUCCCGGCCCCGAAAUACAGUGGCGGUCUCGCCGCAGCCUCUCAUGCGCAGUAGUUUGCACAACUCGCACCGGGAGCGCGGCGCGUCCACGUCCGUAAAACACCCAACUUCUGAAAUGUUGACCUCGGAUCAGGUAGGAAUACCCGCUGAACUUAAGCAUA